Long non-coding RNA from Oncorhynchus masou masou (cherry salmon), 2478 nucleotides. RefSeq lists it as uncharacterized. The record is from RefSeq and is a predicted model, not a curated record. The transcript is spliced from 3 exons. NCBI's taxonomy places the organism in Eukaryota, Metazoa, Chordata, Actinopteri, Salmoniformes, Salmonidae.
AAGAAGCAUCCUGUUGCCAUGGGCUACAGGGUUCAGGGUUCAACGUGGGUAAGACACGCAGAGAAGGAGAGAGGACCAGACAAACAGGGCGAGCUGGGUAAGCUUCGUAGCGAACACAUUAUUUCUCACCACGAGCAAUCAUGACCUAGAUGUUUGACGAUUGGUCAAUCUUGGUCAAUAAAUGAAAUCUGUGGAAUGAAGCACACAGGCUUACCUGGGCUGGACAAAGAUUCCAGACUGCCUCCUAUGCUCUCACUGUCACUGUAGCCCUUUCGUUUAACUAGACUUUCUUCAGGCAGGGAGAAGGAGUCUUGCAGAGAGCUGGGGUUGCUGGUCUUACGACGGCCACUUGGAGGUGCCACACACAGAUUUGGAAACACACGCACACACACACGCAGGCCAGCAGGUCCUUGGCGUAGCGGCACCACAUCUUGGCAUACUGCAGGGCCAGCUCCACGCCUCCCUCACAGCGACACAGAGCCAGGUCUGCUUCCUGGGCUGAGAGUCCUCACCUGGGAUUUGAACUCACAACCUCACGGUUCACAGCAUUCAGAUCUUCCUGCUACGCCACCAUGUUUGUGUCAAUGACUAGUUUCACCUCUAUUCUUAUACUUUUGACUUAAUAGUAAAUCUCAGCUUUGUAUAAUACACUCAAGAAAACUAUUAUAUGUAUCCUAGUUAUUCAUUCAGGAGUAAUAUCAAAACAGAAUUACAUGCCUCACCAACAUUAGACAACUAUACAGAAAACCCUCAAAUUACUGAAAUAAAUCAAUGGAACCAAUGAGAGAAUAGUCAGAUUACCCGAUGUAAACAAAGCAGUGCAGAGAGGUAUUAUAUGUAAUGAACGUGUAGGGGACUUCUGAGAAGUCUGCGCAGCAGAAAGAUAAGCGCACUUCAAAUCCCAGGUGGCAUCAUAUUGUCCUAAUAUUUAUAUAUUUCUUAAGUCCCAUUCUUUGACUUUUAGAUGUGUGCAUUGUUGUGAAAACGUAGAUACUACUGCACUGUUGAAGCUAGGAAUAACACCCGCAAUAACAUCUGCUAAAUAUGUGUACGUGACCAAUAAAAUUGGAUUUGAUGUCUAAGGUAAUCAUGUUUAAUUACACUAUUUUAGCUGAUCAGCGUACCAGUUACCUUAAAACGCCUAUACCAUUUCAUUACUUCCUUGAACGUUUUUCACAUGUUGAGCUGAAAUUCUCACGUGUGAAGACAAGACACACAAAUGAGGUCAGUUGUUCACAUGUGUACACCAUCUUUUCACAUGUGGAAUUUGCAGUGGCGCAUGUUAGAACCUAACUCUCACAUGUGGAAUUGCAUUUUCAAAUGUGUAAAAAUCGAAUUUGCACUUUCACAGGAAAAACUUCAAAAUGUUGUCACGUGUAUUUUCAUGGUAUCACCUGUUGAAAUGUUGGAUUCCCAUGUUAUCACAUUUAUUUCACAUGUGCUUAAAUGUUUUCACAUGUGUAGUUUCAUGCUAUCACAUGCUUCUUUAACAUGUCACAUGUAAUCAUAUUAACUUCACAUGAGAUCACAUGUGAAAUUGAUGUUGUUUUUUCCGUAAGGGAUCACCCCCUCACUUUUUCCCCCAUCCCUCUCUACCUCCCCUAUACCUCCCUUUCUCCCUCACAUUUCUCCCUUCCUCGACCUCUAUGUCCUUCUCUCCCCCUCUCUCAUCCCUUCCUUCCCCUCUUCCUCCCUCCCUCUCUCUCUCUCUUUCCUGUUUGAUGGAUAUGUCUGAGUGGUAAACUAGAGAGCAUCUGUCUGCAGCUCUAAUCCUCUCUCCCUCCCCACCCUCUCCAGUCUUCUCCUAAUCUCGUUAACACAGUCAAUUAGCGCAACCGGCUAAUUAAAGGUCAACAAGACAGGUUGAAUAGUUGGAGAUUAACCACCGUGACUGGCUGUCACCCCACUAGUCCCGCCCACAUCACAUCCCACCUGGAUUGGCUGUCUAUUAGUGUCAGUCACCAGUGUUUCCAGAAGAGAAUGGCUUGGACUCUUGCAUCCCUUUCACAUAAAGACCAAAACCACACAAAUUUACUAUGCCUGCAUUUUUAUACCAGAUUUUUUGUAUUUCUGAAAAGCAUAGGGGGUAGAAAAACAUGGAACAAUAAAACCCACCUAAACACCUAGUCAUGAUUCCUGUAUUUAUACUGACCCUGUAACCCAAAUACAGGUAUUGGGUCUGUGUGAAUGGUUCUCAGAUUUUUUUGCAGGUAAAUUCAUUAACACUUCCAUUGUUUAACACAUCCUUAAUUUGAAAUGCAAACAGCCCCCAUGGUUCAACAACAACCCCCAACCCUCGGAAUUUGCCAAUUACCCACUGAUAUGUAUAAAAGGGGUAUACCUGCAAACAACUGGUAAUAAGGGUCUGUUUGAAAUAAAUAUUGCCUUACAGUGCAUUCAGACCCCUUGACCUUAUCCACAUUUUGUCACGCUACAGCUUUAUUCUAAAAUUAAUUAAAUAAAUCCUCAAUCUACACA